GUUAGAAUUCACAAACCUUAAGCAUACAAUCUGUUUGGCUAGCAGGAAAGUGACGAAGGAAGAAAGAAAAAUAAACUGAAUAAGAGAAUUUUAUUAAUCUCGAAUCACACCCUUACAUUCAAGCUUUCAUCAACUUAUAUUGCUGAUUAACAGAAGUAACAACCUCUGUAACAGCUGUCAAAUAACUAUUGGUUAAGCUAAGCUAAACAAUAACAAUCUAACUAAUUUGUCCAGCUCAGCUAUCCAGCUCAUCAAUCCUAGUCAAGUGAAUCUCAGCCAUUGAUCUGCUGCUGUUGAUUAAGCAUCUCAACACCCCUUCUCAAGCUUAAUGGUCGUGGAACAACAUUAAGCUUGUCUCUAUAGUAAUUAAAAAAAGAGUAAGCCAUAGGCUUUGUAAGCACAUCUGCAAUAUUCCACUCACUUGGUACAUACUUGAUCUCCACUUGUUUGCCCGUUACCUUUUCCCUUAUGAAAUGCACAUCCAACUCUAUGUGCUUGGUUUUGGCAUGAUAUACUGGAUUUGUUGCUAGUGCAGCUGCACCAUUGUUGUCACACCAGAUUAUUGGUAUUUGGCUACACUUCAGUUUAAGCUCUCCAAGUAAAGCUUGAAUCCAAACAAUUUCUGCACAAGCUGUUGACAAUGCUCUAUACUCUGACUCUGUGCUAGACCUUGCUACAGUUUGUUGCUUCUUGGAGGACCAUGAAACCAGAUUCUGCCCAAGAUAUACACAAUAUGCUCCAACUGACUUUCUGUCAUCCACAUCACACGCCCAAUCUGCAUCUGUAUAUGCUGUCAGACUAAUUCCAUCUCCUGCUUUAAACAUCAAUCCAUAAUCUUCAGUUGCCUUUAAGUAUCUUAGAAUUUUCUUACAAGCAACCCAGUGUUUCUCAGUUGGUGCAGCAAGAAAUUGGCUCAACUUAUUAACUGAAAAGGCAAGUUCUGGUCUUGUAAGUACCAAAUACUGUAAAGCACCUAUUAUGCUUUUAUACUCAGUGACAUUAACAAUCAAGUUAUCAUCAUUCCCUGCUCUUCUUAGUUUCUGUCCUGUACUCAUUGGAGUAUCACUUUCUCUGCAAUUUUCCAUAUCAGUUCUUGUAAGCAAAUCUCUUACAUAUUUUGCCUGUGAAAGAUGUAAGCUACCCUUUGCAUCAUGUGUAACCUCAAUACCAAGGAAGUAACUGAACUCACCAAGAUCUUUUAAAGCAAAGGUAUCUCCAAGGUAUUGGAUAAAUGUUUCAAUUACUGUAUUGUUAUCACCAGUAAUUAAUAUAUCAUCUACAUAUACUAACACAGCCACAAUACCUCCAAGUUCAUGUUUGAUGAACAAAGAUGAGUCUGCUUUGGAGUUCUGAAACCCCCACUGCAACAGUGCUUUCCUUAGCCUGUCAAACCAGGCUCUGGGAGCCUGUUUCAAACCGUAAAGAGCCUUAUGCAACUGACAAACAUGACCAGAUGGAGACUGAACAAAACCCUCAGGUUGAAACAUGUAGACAUCUUCAUUGAGCUCUCCAUUAAGGAAAGCAUUGUUGAUGUCGAUUUGUCUUAUUUUCCAGCCCUUCAUCACAGCAAGACUAAGGAUAAUUCUCACAGUUGACUGUUUAACUACUGGACUAAAGGUCUCAAAGUAGUCAAUACCAGCUGUUUGAUGAAACCCUUUUGCCACCAGCCGUGCUUUAUACUUAGAAACAGAACCAUCUGCAUUAUACUUAAUGCGAAAAACCCAUUUACACCCAACAAUUUUAGUAGCUUGAGAAGGUGGUACAAGAAUCCAAGUCUUAUUUUCCAUAAGUGCAUUAUACUCUGCCUGCAUGGCUGCUUUCCAUUUGGAAUCUGAAAGAGCUUGAGAAACUGUGGCAGGCUCUUGUUCUCCAAGAACAGAGGAAUAGGCAUGAAAUUUUGGCUUAAAUACACCUGCUUUGGCUCUUGUAAUCAUUGGGUGAUUUGGCAGUGAAACUUGAGUAGAGGAUGGUUGUUGAUUUGAAGUAUUUUGGGAUACAUAAGGAGAGGUGUGGGAGGGUGGAUGAUUUGAUUGAGAUGGUUGAAAUGGUUGAGAAGAAGGUGAUAAAGAACUAGAUGAGGAGGAAGAAGCUGAAGCUGCAGACAACUGAAAUGGUUGUAUAAUGGUGUUACUUGAGCCUGAAGGGUCAUGAAGUGGAACUGACACUGAAGAUACCUUAAACAUAGGAUAUCUAUAUUCAGAAGCAGAGGAAGAAGGUUGUUUAGAGAAAAGAGAGUCAGUAGAGAAAGGAAAUUCUGACUCAUUAAACACAACAUGCCUAGCAACAUAUACAACACCUUUUGAGCUUAGGCAUUUAUACCCUUUGUGAUCUGAGCUAUAACCAAUAAACAAACAUUUUGUAGUGUGAUAGUUGAAUUUGUGUUUGUUAUAGAAUCUCAGGUAUGGAAAACAGGAGCAGCCAAAAAACUUUAGAAAAUCAUAGUCAGGCUUGUGUUUGAAAAGAAUCUCAUAGGGAGAUUUAUUUGAUGGUAGAACAGAAGUUGGCAAUCGAUUGAUAAGAAAAGCAGAAGUUGAGAAUGCUUCCCACCAGAAACUGAGAGGUAAUUUAGCUUGUGCAAGAAGAGUCAAACCCAUCUCAACAAGAUGUCUAUGUUUCCUCUCUACUGUCCCAUUCUGGUGAUGUGUGUGAGGACAUGGAUGUCUGAAUAAAAUGCCAUGUUUUUGAAGAUAAGGCACAAAGGAUCUGAAUUCACCCUCCCAAUCUGACUGUAGGACCUUAAUGACUGUUUCAAAUUGUUUUUCAACUUGAGUUCGAAAAAUGGCAAAAACAGAUAAAGCUUGAGACUUGGUUUUCAAAGGAUAAACCCAGGCAUAUCUACUAUAAUCAUCAAUGAAACUGAUAUAGUAUCUAUAACCAUUGAGAGAAGUAAUGGGUGCUGGACCCCAUAAGUCAGUAUGGAUGAGUUCUAGAGGUGAGGUUGUUUUGUGUUCAGUUGCUCCAAAAUGCAGUUUAUGAACUUUGCCAUAUUGGCAGGCAUCACAAAAAUCAGGAAUUUGAAUUUUAUUGCUUAACUGCAAAUGUUUACAACUGGUGAGUACUUGUUUCAAGACUUUUGAACUAGGAUGACCAAGUUGCCUAUGUAGGAUAUUUAUUGAAGCACUGGAAACUCUACUGGAAUGAGACAACAGACACUGUUGAGAGGAGUGCUGAACAACUUUAGCUUGAAUAUUUGAAAAAGAACAAGACUGCAAACCAUCUGAGCAAUGUGACACCAUAGACAUAGGAACAAAACAUGACUCUUUAUUUACAGUUGAAAAUAAAGCUUGAUGAGUUUUACUUCCAGGCUCAAGUUUCAGCUUAUACAGACCCUUCAUAGCUACACCCUCCAGCAAAACUGUCCUCUUCUUCUUGUCCUUGAGAAAGCAAGUAUUUCCACAAAAUUCAAUGAUCAAGGAAUUAUCAGAAGUAAGCUUAGAAAUGCUUAAAAGAUUUUUAGUGAUGUGUGGCACAAAUAAAAGAUUUUUGAGCAAUAAUCUAUGAUUUCCAACUGCUAAAUAAGUGCUUCCUAUAUGAGAAAUAGUAAGGCCAUGUCCAUUACCAAUUAAAAGCUUUUCAUUACCUUCAUAAGGCUCACUGAUGCUGAGAUUAUUGAGAUCAUUGGUUAGGUGGUGAGUUGCUCCACUAUCCAGGUACCAGUCAUCAUCCAUUACUGCUUCUGGUGUUGCCAUAUAAGCUGACAUAUUUCUUUGAUUGUAGCCUUGAUUAAAAACUUGAUUUUGAUGUGGAUACCUUGUGACUGGAAUGAAAUCCUUGUUGAACCUAUCCUUGCAGGUAGCAGCAGUGUGUCCUAUAAUGAAGCACACUUGGUAUCUAGGUUGAUAUGGCUGUGAAAAAUGACCAGGCACAUGACUAGGCAUUUGAGUUCUCCCACCUUGAUUCCAAGAUCUUCCUCCAUGCAUGUUAUUUCCUCUUCCACCUUUCCUUCCUCGAUAGAAAUUUCCACCUUGAUUCCCUCUAAAAUUUCCUUGCAUCAUGUAUCCAGAAUUUUCAGAUCUUGAUGCAUUUUGAUUGAAACUAGAUCUUGAGUUGUAUGUUCCAAAACCUUUCUUAUUAUUGUUCCCUUUCUUAACAAAAUUUGCAGCAAACGCCAUAUUUGCAUCCAUAGUUUCAGCUAAAGCUUGUUGUUCUAACAUUCCCUCAUGUGUCAUUAACAUAGAGAGUGAUUCUGAUAAAUCGAGAUCUAAUCCUCUUCCUGUGAUCAAAACUGCUACAGGAUUGAAUUCUGAACCAAUUCCUCCUAACACACUCAUCAUAAAGUCAUAGUCACUCAUUGGUGCUCCUGCUGCUGCCAUGUUAUCUGCUAUGCCUUUCAUUUUGUGAAAAUAGUCAUAAACACUCAAAUCGUUCUUCUUUGUCAACAUCAUUUGAUUCUUCAGUUGCAAUGCUCUGGUUUUGUUUUGUGAGCCAGAAAGUUUUUCCAGAGCUUUCCAAACUUCAAAGGAAGUUUUGUAUCCGAGAACAAUUCCGAGAACACUCUCAGUCAUGGAAGAGAGUAGCCAACCUAGCAACUGCUGAUCAGUUCGCUUCCACAUCACAAACUCAGAGUUCGGAAUCCUCUGAUCUGUGCAUGGUGCUGUGAUUGAACCAUCAAUAUAUCCUUCUAAUCCAUUUCCCUGAAUGGAUGCCAAUACUUGCAUUUUCCAGAUCAAAUAAUUUGAUCUGUCGAGCUUAAUUGGUGUAGGAAAGGUAUAGGAAACAGUUGUGGUUUGAUUUAAGCUUGAUGAUGCCAUCUGGCUCUGAUACCAAGUUAGAAUUCACAAACCUUAAGCAUACAAUCUGUUUGGCUAGCAGGAAAGUGACGAAGGAAGAAAGAAAAAUAAACUGAAUAAGAGAAUUUUAUUAAUCUCGAAUCACACCCUUACAUUCAAGCUUUCAUCAACUUAUAUUGCUGAUUAAUAGAAGUAACAACCUCUGUAACAGCUGUCAAAUAACUAUUGGUUAAGCUAAGCUAAACAAUAACAAUCUAACUAAUUUGUCCAGCUCAGCUAUCCAGCUCAUCAAUCCU
This 5026-nucleotide long non-coding RNA is filed under the name Citrus maxima (pomelo). Its description in RNAcentral is "long non-coding RNA (CMAX_LNC003114)". Lineage: Eukaryota; Viridiplantae; Streptophyta; Magnoliopsida; Sapindales; Rutaceae. The record is from RNAcentral.